AUUGAACGCUGGCGGCAGGCCUAACACAUGCAAGUCGAACGAGUGGCGGACGGGUGAGUAAUGUCUGGGAAACUGCCCGAUGGAGGGGGAUAACUACUGGAAACGGUAGCUAAUACCGCAUACCAUCGGAUGUGCCCAGAUGGGAUUAUCUAGUAGGUGGGGUAAUGGCUCACCUAGGCGCCGAUCCCUAGCUGGUCUGGGAGGCUGACCAGCCAAACUGGAACUUAGACACGGUCCCGAAUACGACGGGAGGCAGGAGUGGGGAAUAUUGCACAAGGGGCGCAAGCCUGAUGCAGCCAUGCCGCGGGUAUGAAGAAGGCCUUCGGGUUGUAAAGUACUUUCAGCGAGGAGGCGUUACUCGCAGAAGAAGCCCCGGCUAACUCCGUGCCAGCAGCCGCGGUAAUAC
Molecule: ribosomal RNA, 406 nt
Filed under: uncultured bacterium
Lineage: Bacteria
Description: partial 16S ribosomal RNA
Rfam family: Bacterial small subunit ribosomal RNA
Source: RNAcentral